Molecule: ribosomal RNA, 253 nt
Filed under: uncultured bacterium
Lineage: Bacteria
Description: partial 16S ribosomal RNA
Rfam family: Bacterial small subunit ribosomal RNA
Source: RNAcentral
UACGUAGGCAGCGAGCGUUGUUCGGAGCUACUGGGCGUAAAGGGUGUGUAGGCGGUUUUCUAAGUUUGGUGUGAAAUCUCCCGGCUUAACCGGGAGGGUGCGCCGAAAACUGGGAGACUAGAGUGCGGGAUGGGAGAGUAGAAUUCCUGGUGUAGCGGUGAAAUGCGUAGAUAUCAGGAGGAAUACCGGUGGUGCAGACGGCUCUCUGGACCGCAACUGACGCUGAGACACGAAAGCGUGGGUAGCAAACAGG